Long non-coding RNA from Heterocephalus glaber (naked mole-rat), 3714 nucleotides. Lineage: Eukaryota; Metazoa; Chordata; Mammalia; Rodentia; Bathyergidae. The record is from Ensembl.
GGCUCCUAAAAUUAAAAGACUUUGGGCCGGGGAUUUAGCUCAGUGAUUCCGCCACCUGCCUCGCAAGUACAAGGCCCCAAGUUCAAUCUCCAGUACCAAAAAAAAUAAAAAAUUUAAAAAAAAAAAGACUUUGCUACAUCCAGUGAUAAACUGGACCAAUACAACAGACAAGAAACACAGGAGCUUUGCAGGUCAGUCAGGAAAACUUGGAUGGCUUAGUCCAGAAAUGGGAAAAAGAAGACAUGCUAUUGUCCAGUAGGGCCAGGAAGAAAAGAAAGGAACAUUUGACCUCAUUGUCCUUCAGGAAAUGUGAAGUAAAACCUUGUGGUCCUUCACACAUGCAAGGAAAAAUGCUUUAAAUUUUUUUUUUUUUUGUACCAGGGAUCAGACUCGGGGCCUUGCGCUGACAAGGCAGACACUAGAACCACUGAGCUAAAUCCCUGGCCCCUUUAAAUUUUUAAGUUAAAAAGAAAGAAUGCUAAUAUUGGGAAGUAUUAAAUGUAUAUUUGUGUAUGUAACACAUGAGAAAGUCUGGAGACUGUCGUAGACACAGCAUCACACACACACACACACACACAUUUUAAUUUACAAGCAGGAGAUUCACCCAUUUGCAUGAACUGUUCUGUGAGUUUUGACAAACAUGGUCGUGUACUACCUCAUGGUCAGGAUAGAGAAAAGCCCCACACCCUCCCAGAUCCUCUCCUGCUGGCCCUGUGCAGCCAGCUCCUUCCCUGGCCAGCCUCAUCUGUCUUCUAGUCCCAUAAUUUUGACUUUUGCAAGUUGUCAUAUGAACGAAUCACAUGCCUGAACCCCUUGGAGGCUGGCUUCUUUUGCUCACCCUAAUGCAUCUGGGAUUCUCCGCCUCUUGUAUUUAUUCUCUUGUAUGCAUGGACCACAGUCUGUUUAUCCCUCCAUCUGCUUAAAGGGCAUUUUGGUUGUCUCUAGAUUUUGUUGAUUGUGACUAAACCACUAUAAUCAUUUAUGUGCAGGUUUGUUUGCCCCACACACACACACCGGGGAUUGAGUUUAGGACCUUGCGCUUGCCAGGCAAACGCGGCACCACUGAGCCACAUCCCUAGCCUGUGUGUAGGUUUUAAUAUCAAUGUAUGUUUUAAUUUCUCUUGGACAAAUACCUAGGAGUGAAAUUACUGGAUUUGUAGGUGUGUGUUUAUCUUUCUAUAAAAUGGCCAAAUGUUGAAGGUUUUGGCCAGUUUCUCCCAUAGCACCAUAGCUGUGUAGGGCCCUAAUGAAAUACUGCUACCACCUUCCUCUCCCAUUUGGAGCUUUACUGACAGAUGCUGAAGGCCCAGCAGGCCAAUUUGCAAUCUCUCUGGACUUGUUUCUACCUUUUCCCAGCUGCUGUGGGUUCAGUCCUGCUGGGUGGGAAGCUAACAGCCUCCUUUUGGUGACCUCUCCCUCCUCCAUUGAAGGCAGGCAAAUAACAAUGGGGCGUGCAUAGUUCUCAACUUAAAUAGUGCUUUAUGAGUUCUUUUUGUUUAAUUACAAAAGUGAUGUAUGUACAUAUCAAACAAGAAAAAACAAUCAAGCAGGGCCCUGAGGUGUAUCCCCAGCACUAUAGUAAAAAAAAAAAGGAACACUAUAAAAGGACAGCCAAUGUAAAGAUAAAAACACUCUCUCACUCCAAGGGCCCCGUUCCUCAUUCCAGAGGUAGCCAGGGUUCAUUUCUCAUAAUACUUCUAGAAAUUGUCUCUUCAUAUAACAAUGCUUUUAAACACUGCAUUUAGUUCUGGUAAAACCAUCACAGCGCUCCGGGUCAUUAUGAAAUUGUUGGGUAAUUUUCAACUUGUAAUAACUCAUAUCAGGGUCAAUAGUCACCUUUAAGGAUCCACUAAGAACCUGAUAUUUUGUGCCAAACAUUCCAUCUCUGCAUUUUUUGGUGGCAGCUUAGUAGCUUUUAUCAGAUUCUCAGAACCCAGAAAGACGUGUCUUUUACAGAUAAGGGGCAGAUAAAUGUGUAACUAGCUGGGGGAGGGGACCAAUAGGUUCUGGACUCCUGGUUCUUUGUUGGUUGGAAGCUGGGGGAACCAUUGCGCUAACAAGUUUGUCUUGGGCUAAAAGCCUGGCUGAGCUCACAGAGAAGUCUGUGGGAUUCUUCGUCCUGAGUCCAGCUGACUCACAGCAUGGGGGAAGAGUGCUGGUGGCCGACACACGUUUUCUCUUUCCCCAGGGUGAGCUGGUUACUGUGCACUUCUCACAGAGAGCAGCAGACAGCUUGCUUCCUGUAGACUGAACAAUAUUCUAGAUGAUUUAGGGAAAUUCCUGGGAGGCAGCUUAAUCCGGUUGAUGAUGAAAGUCACAGAUGUUGGGGGGCAGUUGGGAGGGGAAAUGACCCAGCUGUCUAACACCCUUGUGUAUAUUAAGGCAUUUGUGGUUCAGAACAAUUCUGACAGAUGGGGAAACUGAGGCAGGAGUACACUAGCUACUGUGCAACCAGCCCCACCUCCCAGUGUGAGUUACUGGCCGCUUGGGUCCAUACACUAGAUCUCUUUGCUUGCCACUGACAAAUGAGGCCAUUUAUGUUGGUGAAAAGGAAAAUGGCUUUGUGCAAAGCUGGCUCCCAGGGGAUGCAGGGGCACCAUUCCCCUGUGUCCAGGGCUAGAAGGGUCUUUUACAGCAGGGAAGGAGAGGAGGGGUAGACAGCGAGGCGACAGAGCUCUCCAGGCUGCUUUAUGGCUCCCAGCCAUCCUGGAACUCCUCUUUCCCAUGGAUAGGACACUGGCACGAGGGGGUGGCACUCAAGUGGCAGAUAGGCUGUAGGUCUCUCUAAAGGAAAAAAGUCUAACUUAGAGUUCCAUUUGCUGGGUACACGCACAGUUGCAUUUGUCGGUGGGGGAGGGAGGGCCCUGGCCCUGUGCCGUCGCUGCAGGACCCAGGCUGCAUCCAUCCACAGCACUUCCUCUCCCAGGGCCUGGCCAGAGAGCAAGGUUCACCAUAUACCAAUUGCUAAACCAAGGGUUUUGAGGAAGAGAAAAGCAAUUAUUCAUUAUUCGCAAGGUGGACAAGCGACAAGGUGGGAGAUCUAAGCUUCAAAUCCACCUCCCCAAAGAGGUUGUUUAUGGGAUGAAGAAGCAGGUGGUCGCAGGUGUUUGCAGGUGUUUGCGAAGGUGAAAUAUGUUCUGGUGGAAACAACCCAAAUGUCCAACAUAUGAGCCUGGGAAAUUGACCCUGGUAUGUCCAUGUGGGGAAUAUCACAUGAUCAUCAAAAGUGGUGAUGGAAACCUAGGAAGAGAUGGAAAGAUGAUUCUAAUCUAGCAACAUAAAAGGGCAGCUUACAAAGCUGCUCUAUUUUUUUGUUUUGAAAAAUAUUCAAAAAGUAUUUGAAGAGCAUGUAUUAUAACAUUUCUAAUGAUUAUUGCUAAUGGAUUAUGAGAGAUUUUUAUUCCCUGCCCCCUCUGUCUUUUCUAACCUAUGCUUUCUAAAUUUCCUACCAAGAAACAUUUAUUACUCUGUAGCAAAGUAACAGGUUUAAGUCCAAAUCCUAGUCCUAAUGGCCUCAAUGAUCUUGAGGCCAUUGCUUAAUUUCUCCACCUGGGGAGAAUCAUUUUAGGAUUUUGUGAGGAUUAAACAAGCUAACUGUAAGAGGCACUUAGUACAUUUUUAGGCGUUGUCACUAACAAAAUCAUUUUUGCAAAUCUUUCUACUCUGGUAAAACCCAUUCCCAAAGCAGACCAACCACAUCUGGGAGCCACUGGG